GUCUACGGUCAUGCCGCACUGAACAAGCCCGAUAUCGUCUGAUCUUGGAAGCUAAGCGGGGCCGAGCCUGGUUAGUACAUGGAUGGGAGACCACCUAGGAAUAUCGGGUGCUGUACGUA
RNAcentral lists this ribosomal RNA (119 nucleotides) under Pteropus vampyrus (large flying fox). Lineage: Eukaryota; Metazoa; Chordata; Mammalia; Chiroptera; Pteropodidae. The record is from RNAcentral.